GUCUAUGGCCAUACAAUCCUGAAUGUGCCCAAUCUUGGAAGCUAAACAGGGUCCAGCUUGGUUAGUACUUGGAUGGGAGACUGUCUUAAGGAAAUAAGAUCAAGUGUUUCUGGUU
Molecule: ribosomal RNA, 115 nt
Filed under: Jaculus jaculus (lesser Egyptian jerboa)
Lineage: Eukaryota; Metazoa; Chordata; Mammalia; Rodentia; Dipodidae
Source: RNAcentral